GACUUGGACAUCCAACAGGCAGUCAGAAAUUCAGGUUAGGCAUUUAGAAGGGAUGUCAGUCCACAACUCCUAAAGCUGGCCAGUAAUGAGACAAGCCUGCCUAGGAGAUUGUGCUGUUUCACACAGGGUCAAAAACAGCUGGCGGAUUCCAAUAUACAGAAGAACUUACUGAAAAACCAGUAUCUUGUCAAGUUGAAUUAGUCAGGAGCCAGACAUAGUAACGACCUUUUUAAUCCCAGAGAAGGAGGCAGCAACCUUCUGCAGGCAGGAACAGAGGCCAUUUCUUUGUUCAAUAGUGCAGGCACCAAGC
This 310-nucleotide long non-coding RNA is filed under the name Bos taurus (domestic cattle). RNAcentral's name for it is "long non-coding RNA NONBTAT019494". The record is from RNAcentral. Lineage: Eukaryota; Metazoa; Chordata; Mammalia; Artiodactyla; Bovidae.